Equus caballus (horse) is the source of this 3151-nucleotide non-coding RNA. The record is from RefSeq and is a predicted model, not a curated record. Lineage: Eukaryota; Metazoa; Chordata; Mammalia; Perissodactyla; Equidae.
UUUGUGAACAUUUGUAUAAGUAAAAAGUAUCUUUUACUCACUAGUAGGAAAAAUAUCUCGCUUCAUGUACUUUCAUGAAGUGUUUAGUGCCUUAUGUUAUUUUAAUCUAGCGAGCAGCCGGAGGUUUAUUGUUUUAUAUUAAAUGAAAACCAGAUAUUUCUGGGCUAUUGGACUCCUAGGCUGCAAUUUUCCUCUCAAAUCUGUAUAAAGGUAAAACAAGGAAAAAAUAGUCUGGGAGGAAAAAACCAAAUUGGAUGCUGGACACAUACAGAUUCCAACUUUUACUAAGAGUACAUUGUUAGUCUAGCACAGUGCCAGGCGCUGGGGAUAAGGAGGGAGUUACAGAAAGUGGAAGCUAUCAAGGAGUUCACCCUCUAGGUGAUGAGAUAAAUAUGCCCAUAUGGAUGAGCUGAGAGACCAGUGCACCAACGAGAGGGGUUGCUGCUAAGAACUAUGGGCAUUCAACAGUUGAGGACAUCAAGGGUGGACACUGAUGGUAUAAGAUCAGCAAGAUGUCUUGAAAAAAGGAAGAAUGGUUGUGACUAAAAAGAUUAUCAUUGUUUUCCUAUGCGGAAAAGUGGAGAAGAUGACAAUUUGAGUAAAGAGAAGAGAAAAUCAAGAGCAUUGGCUGAAUCAAAGAAUAAUAAGGACCAGGCUUGGCUGAAGUGGAGCGUUUGGGCUGGAUGAAGAGAAGACAUGAGGAAACCGAGACAUUCAGGAGCUUAAGAGUUCUCACAACAAGGAAGAACCUGAACUGAGAUUCAAACUCAGGUAUGCUUGAUUCCAACAUCCAUUAACUUUUCACUAUGCCACACAGCCACACCAGAAUAUCUGCCUCACUCAACACGUACUCACACACCUUUGUGGCUUUCACGUGCUGUUCCCUUUGCCGGAAAAAGCCUCCAUCUGUCUCUUCUCUCUUCUUCUUUCUUUUCAUCCUCCUUUCCACGCACCAGGGAAAGGACAUAUACAGCUCAAUAUGAAAACUUCUGAUUUCCCCAGGCAGAGUUAGGUCACCCACUGUAGUCUCCUACGCAACCUUUUGCGUAUCUUUUGCUCCUUCUUGGCCAUUUGCUCCUUCGGCAUAGGAGUCUUAUCUUAUUUUUGUUUGCGUCUUCCAGGUCUAGAACAGUGCUUGGCUUAUAGCCAUUUCUUGAUAAAUAAUUGUUGAAUGGAAUUUUUAAAAGCAUGCUAACUUUUAUAAGUAAGAUUAUAUUCAGGCAUAUUAAUAAUUUUCACUGAAAUAAGCAAUUGAAAGAGUCAAAUGGUCGAAACAAUUGUCCAUGUAGAGUUUCAGAAAAUCUUCUGCAUGUGCCAGUUGUUUCAGGCCGCUCAUUCAUUCACUAUUCAGGCUUCUAUGUACAGAACAUCGUGUACUUCCACGAGGCACUCAUGCAUUUAGUCACUCAUUAAGAAAAUUAGCAGAUACAAAAAUCAACCAGUUUUAUGCUCAAUAGCACUGAAUUCUCUGUUUUUUUGUUUUGUUUUAUUUUUGUAAUCAAUAUUGUGAUUGAUGCUAUAGGUUAGCUAACUUGACACCCAUUCCCAGCCCCAUUCUUUCUUGGUUACCUUCACUAUGAAGGCUAUAAACACUAUACACUCAAUUUCUCAGCAUUCCUUGCAGAUAUGGGUAGUCAUAUGACACAGUGUUGGUCCAUGACACAUAAUUUGAAGUAUGCCAGCACAGUUUUGUAAGAAUUUCGUUCUCCUCUUUCAAGAAAGCACAGACAUAGCUGGCCUCACACCUGCCUUCCUUUCUCCUUGCUGUGAGCACAGACAUAAUGCCAGGAGCGACAGCAACCAUCCUGAAACUAUGAGAAACCAGCGUCGCGCUCAGCAUGGCAGAGUGUUAGGACAGAGAGAGCCUAAGCCCCUAGGAUGUGGUGGAGCUGCUGCAGAAGCCCCCAGGCAGCCCACGUCCAGACUUCCUCCCAAGGACAAAAGAGAGCCCUGUUUGUUUAAACCACUUUUGAUCAACUUUUCUCUCCCUGCAGCCAAAUGCAUUCCUAUAUGAUGCAAAUACAGUUUGACACUACAGGGUGCAAAUGACCUAAAAGGGGGAGGGGUCCCUAUUAUAGUUAAACAAAAAUAACAACAAUACUGUAACACACAGCCUAGAGGGCAGGGGUAUGGGUUUGUUUUUGUUUUAUUCACUGCAGUAUCUCCAGAACUUAGAACAGUGACUGGCACAUAGUAGGCAUUCAAUCAGUAUUCACUGGCUGAAUAAUGUUACUGUGUUGGGAGCUGCCCCCUAAAUUGUGUGUCCUUGACUCACUUCUGCAAGAUGCCUUUUCAGCUGUACACCUUCAUGGCUCUCUGAAACCUCACUCAGCUGCUAGAAGUGUCCGGAAGCAAAGGUCCAUGCAGCCUCAGAAGAAGUCAAAGAGAUGAAUCGCAGGAGCCCUCUACAUUUGAUGCUCACGGGACCAAGAUGCUCACGGGACCAAGAUGCUCACGGGACCAAGAUACUCACAGGACCAAGAUGCUCACGGGACCUGUGCUGCAAUACAAGCCUUCUUCGCCCAUCUAUUUACCUAAGGGCACAGGUGCUGUCAGAACUUUCUUGUUAAGAGUUACUUUAACUCACGUUGUUCAAAGGGUCAAUUUCUCCCAGGCGGAGCACUAGGGGUCUGGCGGAAGGAACUUUCCAAGUGCUGGCACUGAAACAGCAAUGCUUGUUCUGAGAGCGCUGAUAUUUAUUUUCCCCACUAGAGGACAGUGCUUGAAAGAAUAACAGCCCUUACCUCUGAGGUUAGGCAGCACCAAGGACUGGAACAAUCCCCUCAUUGUGACUUCCCUAACCCACGUGCAGAGCACAGAAAGAUUUUAUUUCUUUGGAGGAAAAAGGAGAAAUAAAUAUGUUUGCUCUAACAUGAUGCAGAAAGCAAUGAUGACACUGUCUUAACUGGCUUAGCACGAGAAAAGAGAAAUGCCAGUAAAUUUAGCAUUCAGAAUCACUAAGGAGCCAAUGAAAGAAGACAUCCUUGUAAACGGACGUGAAAUCCCUUUAAAGAAAGUCUUAAUGAGAGGCUAUUUGUUGAAGCCAUGACCAAGUGCUCAGAAAAAUAAUCUCUGUUGCUCUGAUUUGAUCAUCAUUAGAAUUUACUUUGGUGAACAAUUUAUUUCAAUAAACGUGCUUUUUUCUUCAUCA